UGGUAGUGUAUUGGACAACCAAGUCGAUCACGGGUAACGGAGAAUUAGGGUUCGAUUCCGGAGAGGGAGCCUGAGAAACGGCUACCACAGCUACGGUAGGCAGCAGGUGCGUAAAUUACCCAAUCCAAAAUCUGGAAGGUAGUUACAGGAAAUUUGUUGCAUGGGGUUCUACCCCAGACACAAACGAACACAUGUAAGUAUUGUGUGUUUAAUUGGAGGGCAAGUUUUGGUGCCAGCAGCCGCGGUAAUUCCAACUCCAAGAGUGUAUCUUAAUGUUGCUGCAGUUAAAAAGCUCGUAGUUGAACCUCUGGCUAGUGAGGGCCCAUUCGGGCCGAUCGCUAGUCAUCCGCUCGGGGAAGCAGUAUUUCCUUAACCGGUUUUACUGUAGAUCCAGCAUUUUACUUUGAAGAAAUUAGAGUGUUCCUGGCAGGCUUAGCUUGCAUAUAUUAGCAUGGAAUAAUGGAAUAGGACCUUGUCUGUUUUAUUGGUUGACAGAUAGGUAAUGAUUAACAGGGACAGUCGGGGGCAUUCGUACUCAGUGGCUAGAGGUGAAAUUCUUAGAUUCGCUGAAGACGAACUAAUGCGAAAGCAUUUGCCAAGGAUGUUUUCAUUAAUCAAGAACGAAAGUUAGGGGAUCAAAGACGAUUAGA
This 650-nucleotide ribosomal RNA is filed under the name uncultured ciliate. RNAcentral describes it as "SSU rRNA". It matches the Rfam family "Eukaryotic small subunit ribosomal RNA", at positions 326 to 1012 of the family's 1831-position model. The record is from RNAcentral. Lineage: Eukaryota; Ciliophora.